Molecule: ribosomal RNA, 370 nt
Filed under: uncultured bacterium
Lineage: Bacteria
Description: bacterial SSU rRNA
Rfam family: Bacterial small subunit ribosomal RNA
Source: RNAcentral
GAAGGGGGCGAGCGUUGUUCGGAAUCACUGGGCGUAAAGGGCGCGCAGGCGGCCUUGUUUGUCAGGCGUGAAAGCCCCGGGCUCAACCUGGGAGGUGCGCUUGGGACGGCGAGGCUGGAGAUCGGGAGAGGAGAGUGGAAUUCCCAGUGUAGAGGUGAAAUUCGUAGAUAUUGGGAAGAACACCGGUGGCGAAGGCGGCUCUCUGGACCGAUACUGACGCUGAGGCGCGAAAGCGUGGGGAGCAAACAGGAUUAGAUACCCUGGUAGUCCACGCUGUAAACGAUGUGUGCUAGACGUUGGGGAGCCUAGCUCUUCGGUGUCGCAGCUAACGCGAUAAGCACACCGCCUGGGGAGUACGGCCGCAAGGUUA